AGCGCCGCCACCCCACAUGCCAACCAAGAAAGUGGCGCUGAAAAGCCCGAGAGCGCCUCGACGCCGGAGCAGAGCAAGAGGGCCGUGGUGAGCUACUGGGGCAUCGAACCGCGGAAGCUCGUCAAGGACGACGGCACGGAGUGGCCGUGGUUCUGCUUCAGGCCGUGGGACACGUACAGGCCGGACACGUCCAUCGACGUCACCAAGCACCACGAGCCCAAGGCCCUGGCGGACAAGGUGGCCUACUUCGUGGUUCGGUCGCUGCGUGUGCCCAGGGACCUCUUCUUCCAGCGCCGGCACGCCAGCCACGCCCUGCUGCUGGAGACGGUCGCGGCGGUGCCGCCCAUGGUGGGCGGCGUGCUGCUGCACCUGCGCUCGCUCCGCCGCUUCGAGCACAGCGGCGGCUGGAUCCGCGCGCUCAUGGAGGAGGCCGAGAACGAGCGCAUGCACCUCAUGACCUUCAUGGAGGUGACCCAGCCCCUGUGGUACGAGCGCGCCCUCGUCAUCGCCGUCCAGGGCGUCUUCUUCAACGCCUACUUCUUCGGCUACCUCAUUUCCCCCAAGUUCGCGCACCGCGUCGUCGGCUACCUCGAGGAGGAGGCCGUCCACUCCUACACCGAGUUCCUCAAGGACCUCGACGACGGCAAGAUCGACAACGUCCCCGCCUCGGCCAUCGCCAUCGACUACUGGCGCCUCCCUGCCAACGCCACCCUCAAGGCCGUGGUCACCGUGGUGCGCGCCGACGAGGCUCACCACCGCGACGUCAACCACUUCGCAUCGGACGUGUACUACCAGGGUAUGCAGCUGAAGGCCACCCCCGCGCCGAUCGGAUACCACUGA
Molecule: ribosomal RNA, 840 nt
Filed under: Triticum aestivum (bread wheat)
Lineage: Eukaryota; Viridiplantae; Streptophyta; Magnoliopsida; Poales; Poaceae
Description: partial small subunit ribosomal RNA
Source: RNAcentral